RNAcentral lists this ribosomal RNA (253 nucleotides) under uncultured bacterium. Its description in RNAcentral is "partial 16S ribosomal RNA". It matches the Rfam family "Bacterial small subunit ribosomal RNA", at positions 524 to 776 of the family's 1533-position model. The record is from RNAcentral.
UACGGGGGGGGCAAGCGUUGUUCGGAAUUACUGGGCGUAAAGGGCUUGUAGGUGGCCAACUAAGUCAGACGUGAAAUCCCUCAGCUUAACUGGGGAACUGCGUCUGAUACUGAGUGGCUUGAGUGCAGGAGAGGAAUGCGGAAUUCCAGGUGUAGCGGUGAAAUGCGUAGAUAUCUGGAGGAACACCGGUGGCGAAGGCGGCAUUCUGGACUGUAACUGACACUGAGGAACGAAAGCCAGGGGAGCAAACGGG